RNAcentral lists this ribosomal RNA (245 nucleotides) under uncultured bacterium. RNAcentral describes it as "partial 16S ribosomal RNA". It matches the Rfam family "Bacterial small subunit ribosomal RNA", at positions 524 to 767 of the family's 1533-position model. The record is from RNAcentral.
UACGUGAUCCCAAAGCGUUAUCCGGAUUUAUUGGGCGUAAAGGGUCCGUAGGUGGCCAUAAAAGUCUUCGGUUAAAGCUCCAGAGCUCAACUUUGGUGAUGCCGGGGAUACUGUAUGGCUAGAGGGUAUUAGGAGUUGAUGGAACGGUCGGUGUAGGGGUGAAAUCCGUUGAUAUCGACCGGAACACCGAAAGCGAAGGCAUUCAACUAAGAUAACCCUGACACUGAGGGACGAAAGCGUGGGUA